CAAUACGAGCAUCUGCAUCGAUCUGCUCUCUAGCUCCUCCAUAAAGGACACCAGAUUUAAUCAUCCUUAUUAUCCCAGAAUGCAUAUUGCUAUGGUUUGGCAAAGAGUUAGAUCUACUUUGUACAUCUUCUUCCUGUAUCUUCACUACAUCUUCUUCCUGUAUCUUCACUCCUAGUCUAGUUGUCAUGAAUGAGGACACAUCCAAAAUCAAUGGAAAAGAUAUAUGGCCCUAAAAUACCAUGAAGACAAAAU
Molecule: long non-coding RNA, 252 nt
Filed under: Medicago truncatula (barrel medic)
Lineage: Eukaryota; Viridiplantae; Streptophyta; Magnoliopsida; Fabales; Fabaceae
Description: long non-coding RNA (MTRU_LNC006603)
Source: RNAcentral